UAAAAACAUUGUCAAAUACCAAAGAUACCCUAAAUGAUUAAAAUACCCAAAGUAACCAAAAUAAACUAUUUGCUAAAGUAUGUAGUCCUAAAAUCCUGACUGGGCAGUCCUACGUUAUGCGUAGAUAGCAAUAGCAUAAUGGAUAGCAAUCAGUGUUUAAAGAAGCUUUUCUCAUUAAUUUGUGAGUAUCAUCAAUUUAUUCAGCUUCUUUAUUCCUGUAGUUUAUUGAUGCUCCAAUCUAUCAUAUUUUGGGGGCUACCUUCUUAUUUUUAAGGUAGAUA
Molecule: unclassified non-coding RNA, 281 nt
Filed under: Hevea brasiliensis (rubber tree)
Lineage: Eukaryota; Viridiplantae; Streptophyta; Magnoliopsida; Malpighiales; Euphorbiaceae
Source: RNAcentral